RNAcentral lists this ribosomal RNA (526 nucleotides) under uncultured bacterium. RNAcentral's name for it is "bacterial SSU rRNA". It matches the Rfam family "Bacterial small subunit ribosomal RNA", at positions 355 to 895 of the family's 1533-position model. The record is from RNAcentral.
UGGGGAAUUUUCCGCAAUGGGCGAAAGCCUGACGGAGCAAUACCGCGUGAGGGAGGAAGGCUCUUGGGUCGUAAACCUCUUUUCUCAGGGAAGAAGAUCUGACGGUACCUGAGGAAUCAGCAUCGGCUAACUCCGUGCCAGCAGCCGCGGUAAUACGGAGGAUGCAAGCGUUAUCCGGAAUGAUUGGGCGUAAAGCGUCCGUAGGUGGCCUUUCAAGUCUGCUGUCAAAGCGCGGGGCUUAACUCCGUAAAGGCGGUGGAAACUGAAAGGCUAGAGUGCGGUAGGGGUAGAGGGAAUUCCCGGUGUAGCGGUGAAAUGCGUAGAGAUCGGGAAGAACACCAGUGGCGAAAGCGCUCUACUGGACCGCAACUGACACUGAUGGACGAAAGCUAGGGGAGCGAAUGGGAUUAGAUACCCCAGUAGUCCUAGCCGUAAACGAUGGAUACUAGGUGUUGCCUGUAUCGACCCGGGCAGCGCCGUAGCUAACGCGUUAAGUAUCCCGCCUGGGGAGUACGCACGCAAGUGU